GAAGCAGAGAGCGACGCUUUGAAAUUGUAAGAACAAACAAAAAUAGUAGCAGCACUACCGGCGCUGGAGCCGGAGUUGUAGAAGAGAAGGAUGAAGUUCGCCGUCAAUAAGGGAUGGAGCAACGGAAGAGCCCGGUCAGGGGUUCUGCAGCUGGGCAGCUGUCCUUUCCCAAUUCAGACUCCCGCUCUGCUCCUCACAACCCGCAAAGGCCUGCCCGCUUUCAUCUCUCCGGACCUCCUUACCUCCUCUCUUCCUUCUCCGGAUUCUCACCUGCUCCAGUUCAGCCCGCUUCACUUCUUAGAGGGUAUUUCUCCUAAAACAAUAUCUAACAUUGGAGGACUGCACCAAAUGCUUAGUCUGCACCAACACAUAUUCGCGGCCGUACCGCGGGAUUCCAUCAUUGCCCUUCCUGAACAUGACAGCACUAACAAAUAUGGAGCGUCUUUCCAGACUCCUGGAGGCCGUCUUCUGAUAAAACCUGCAGAAUACGUGGAACUUGUUUCUUCAAUGAAGCCUGACUUUUGGGUCACUUUGGCUGAUGAAGUUCCUGCUUGGGUUUCUGAUAAGAGGAACAGAACCUCAGUUGACCGCACUCUGAGAUGGCUCGACGAUUGCCUUUCACUCAAUAAGACAGGUACUACUAUUUUUGGAUCCAUUGUAGGAGGCUCCAGCAUUGAAGAACGGCAUCGGUGUGCACAAGAAGUUGCACAAAGAAAUGUAUCAGGAUAUUGGAUUGGUGGGUUUGGGCUUGGAGAAAGUAUGGACGAGCGGGCUGCUCUUCUCACUGCUGUUACGGACAAUUUACCAGAGGAUAUGCCAAGGCAUGUCUCUGGACUUGGACUUCCAGAGGAGGUGUUGCAGGGAGUUGCUGCAGGCAUUGACCUAUUUGACUCUACGUAUGUUUACCAUCUUACACUUGGUGGAUUUGCUCUAACCUUUCCUCUUGAGAGAAAUAAGGGUGACAAUGCCGAUUACCAGCUAAGUGAUUCGGGAGGUGAUGACAUGAAGAUCAAUCUGAAAGCUACUAUAUAUAGGAAAGAUACAUCACCAAUUGUUGAAAGCUGCAACUGCUUCACAUGCCAGAAUCAUACAAAGGCAUAUUUGAAUCACUUGUUCAACGUUCAUGAAAUGUUGGCACAAACUCUAUUGGAGAUACACAACACACACCAGUAUCUGGGAUUCUUCUGCUCAAUUAGAAAGGCUAUUGAAGAAGGCAAGUUUGAGCAAUUCCGGAGGAACUUUGUUGAAAGUAGACGUGAAUGUCUCUUUGCUGCUGCAUCGAGUGAUUAACUUCAUGGUAUUCAGACCCUUUUUUCUUUUUUUUGUUUUUUUGAAAUCUGAAUUUUGGUUUGGCGCAACAAUUGCUCGUGGUGGUGACUUGUAAGGAGAUCAAAUGAAUUCAUUCUGGACUCUCUGAUGAUGUUGUUAAUACUUUUGAUGACCAAAUGGAAUGUGCUAUUUUUUACGAGGAAAUGUUAAGCUUGUACCGGAAAGAAGGGAGGUGGAUUACCAGUUACUGGUUUUGAGCGAUUUUGUGGUGUUGACAGUUAUGGAUGCCGUGAACGGUGCUAGUUAUGGAUGCAGUGGAUGGAUUUGUAAGGAACGUUUCCUUGCAUGCUCGUUAAGUUUUUGAUUUGGGGGAUUGAAUUUCAUAAAUUUUCUUAACUUUCUGGACUCCUCUAUGAAGUCCUCUUCGUGUUGAAAAACCAGGAGUAGAAAGAACAAGAGACAGCUCUCAGAUAUAUACUACAUACGUUGCUUGUUCCUCACCAGUCUGGCGGUGGUUGGAAUUAUGAGCAACAGAGUACGAGGCAGGCAUGUCCAUGGUACCGGGUGCAGGACGGGCACUCACAGAACAGACUCUUGGGUCCAAAAGGGCAGGGGCGGCUUGACUGCGUCUCGAGGGACCGGACUGGUAUUUGCUUACGUUGAAUAGUUUGAGUGAGUCUUUAAUUUGUCACUUCAUUCCGACCAAAUGUUUUUAUUUUCUUUUCUUUUUUUCCGUCUGAAAACCCUUGAGGUUGACCAAGAAAACAUGUGCUCGUGACCAGAUCAUAUUGGGCUGCAUGCUUUGCAGUCAUGUCCGCACGUUCAUAUUGUGUUGUGGUAAGGUAUUAAUCACUUCGAUGAGUGGUUGAAAUAGGUGGGUAGGAUAGGAAUAUGAGCAUUUUUUUGGGUAGCUUUGAAAUUGUCUUUGAUUAAGAUAAGGAAUAAAAAGAAAAAGACGACACUGGACACUGCA
Coffea arabica (coffee) is the source of this 2242-nucleotide RNA transcript. RefSeq lists it as uncharacterized. Lineage: Eukaryota; Viridiplantae; Streptophyta; Magnoliopsida; Gentianales; Rubiaceae. The record is from RefSeq and is a predicted model, not a curated record.